Molecule: unclassified non-coding RNA, 942 nt
Filed under: Hevea brasiliensis (rubber tree)
Lineage: Eukaryota; Viridiplantae; Streptophyta; Magnoliopsida; Malpighiales; Euphorbiaceae
Source: RNAcentral
GGGAAAUAGAGAGCUAAAGAUGACGUACGAAUUCUCACCCUUAAAAACCCCAAAAAAGGAAGAGCAAGAGGCAGCAGAGAGCAUCGUUGAUGAUCCUGCCAAUGGAAGAGUCGAUGUUAUGGAUGAAUUUGACGGCGUUUUGGGUAUUGAAGAUGAUGAAGAAAAGUUUUCGAAGAGUAAUAAUGUAUAUGGGUUAACGAGUUGGGAAUUUAUGGACUGGGAGGAAGAGGAACCACCAAAUAAUGAAAAUGGAGAAGAUGAAGGAACAGAUCAUUACAGUAAGUUUGAAGACAGAAGCUGCAGGCGCUUCUUUGAGGAAGAUAGCCAUUUUUGUCGCAUAAAGAGAGAGAUCACUGCUAUUGGAUUUUUGAAUGGCGAUGAUGAAGAUGAGUACAACAGAGUUUCUUUGAACUUGAACUUGAAUUAUCAGGAAGUCUUGGAUGCAUGGUCUGAUCGAGGUCCACUUUGGGCUAAUGGCUCUUCUCUUUCUUCCAUUCCAAACAAUGCCUAUUAUAUGGGAGAGGUGCCAGUGAUGGAAGAAGAGAGAACAAGAAGGGAAGCAAGUGUUCUGAGGUACAAAGAGAAGCGCCACACUAGAUUGUUUUCUAAGAAGAUAAGGUAUGAAGUUCGCAAAAUCAAUGCAGAUAAAAGACCCAGACUAAAGGGUAGAUUUGUGAAGAGAGUUUCAUGAAAGGAUACUGGAAAUGGGCUUGAAAUAUCUGAAGAAAUAUCUUGGUGUUUGGACUUAUUAAUAGAAAAUAUGCCUUGUUUUUAUUUUUUAUUAUUAUUUCUAAAAUUUUUGUAUUGAUGAGGAAAAUAUCUGAAACCUUUGGAAGAAUAGAAAAUAUCUUGUGGGAAUGCUUUGGAGAGUUUAUGGGUCGUUGUUGUGGAGCUUUCUUACAUUUCAGCGGGUCACCGGAUGACUGGUCCAUCACGGAUAAU